CUUUGCACACACUUAUUUUUUUAUUCUUACUAAACCGUGAGCCCAAGGAUAGGUCAAAAAAUCCGAAGAAGAGAAAGGCAACAAGCGCUAAUAUCAUUUUAAAGAUUCCACUGAUAGAACUGAAUAGACCAAUUUCUCGCUACGAUUCAAAUAUUUCAACUCUUCAAAUUUGAUUAGCGAAGAAAAUGAAAUUGAUCGUAUACGGUUCAAAAACCUAUGACGCAUUUACUGUCUUGAUAAGUUGGUUAGAAAAAAUUCUCUUGGAGACGGUCAGAUGAGGAUGGUACCGAGCGCUUUGCUCCCUGAAGUUUUGUCGGUGCACUUCUUGAAGAACACUCCUUUUAAAAAAAGAAAAAAAUAAAAUGCUCCACAUACUCCACAUAUAAAAGAUGUGGCUUAAGUUGAACAGUACGUAUGAACCGAUGAAUAAACGGAUAGAACGAGCAUACAAUUUGUAUAUAUAACUAUUACAGGCUAACAUAAUGAUGCGAUUAUAUUAAAGUGACAAAUCGAGAAAAAACAAAACUUUAAUACUGUUCACGCAUCAUUAUAAGAUCACUACGUCGGCAGAUAGUUUCCAUUUACAGCAUGCCUAAGAGUAAUAAACUAGACAAAAAUGAAUAAAAAAAAAGUUUUUACGUAA
Molecule: long non-coding RNA, 643 nt
Organism: Drosophila mojavensis
Lineage: Eukaryota; Metazoa; Arthropoda; Insecta; Diptera; Drosophilidae
Exons: 2
Source: RefSeq, a predicted model, not a curated record